UUGUUUGUUCAUUUAUUUUUCUCUCUAGAAGAAAGAGGUCCUCAAAACAAACCACCGAGCCUGGAGAGAGACCAGACAACACAGCACAGCUAAAUAUCAGUUCAGUGUGCAACAACCCUUCAGCUGCAACACAGAGAAAACCAGCAGAGGAGUCAGACGAUCUUCACUAUGCCAGCGUAAGCUUCUCUAAAAACCAGGAAGAUCCUCUCUACUCCAACAUCAGGCCAGCUCAGCCCAACAGACACAAGAAUGAAGAGGAGGAGGACGAAGAUGGUGUGGAGUACAGUGUUGUUAACUUUAAGAGUGCCAAUGCUUCAGCAGAGUGAGUCCAUGAGAAUUUUAUUCAUUCCCACCAUGUCAUUUUGUUGCAUCUACCUGUCAUUUUCAACCUGUUCUUAGAUAAUAUUGGGAUUUUUUUUAUAUUCACAGAUUAAGAUGUCAGGAGGUUUUGGAGAAUUUGUCUUCACUGUACAGCAUAAUCACCGACAUACCAAGAGUAUGAAUACAACAUGAAGCUGUGCUUCUGUGUGUCCUUUUCCACGGUGAUAUUAAAAUACAUUUGACAUUGACCUGGUCAACAAUUUAAUUCCUGUUCUAAAUCAAUGCACAAGGUGCCGUAUGUUAAACUGCAGGUGACAUUAACUUUACUUUGUGUUGUGAUAACGUUAUCUCUUAUUCUAACUAAAUAAAAUGUUGAACAUUAGGUUUGAGUUGACAUACUGUAUUAACUUUAUUGUUACAACAUCUAGCCUUGGUCAUUUUUCUAGGUUAGUAUAAUGAGUUAUUGUAUUGUUUUUUUUGUAUUCAUCCAUCCAUCGUUAACCGCAUAUCCCGCGUACAGGGUCACGGUGGGCUGGAGCCAAUCCCAGCUUACAUUUGGGCGAAAGGCGGGGUCUGGAACUUACCAUUACACAUUAAUGAGUUACACUAAUUGUGUGCUCAUCGCAAAACUUAAAUUUGUUUCUUUACUGUAGUUUUGUGUAUCUUAUUUUACACUGUUUUCACCAGGUGGCUGUAAUUAGACUAAAUAACCUGAUAUUUUAUUGAAGAAAAGCUGUGAAAACUGUCAGCAUAUCGUCCACUUUUAAUAUCUGUAGAUAAUAUAGAUGACCUCUGGCAAAGUUUUUAUUAUUUGUGUCUUCUUAUAUAUUUAGUAUGUGUCGAUAUGCUAGAUCCAGUAAAGGAAAAAGAAAAUAUUUUAAUUAAAAGUGGCCACGAGAUACUACCUCGGCCCCACGUUUUAAUUAGAAUAUUUUUUCUUUCCUUUACCAGAUCUAGCAGGGCUCUGUACUUUAUUCCUCUUUUUGCAAUAAAUUAUUCUGACACCA
Long non-coding RNA from Micropterus salmoides (largemouth bass), 1328 nucleotides. RefSeq lists it as uncharacterized. The record is from RefSeq and is a predicted model, not a curated record. The transcript is spliced from 2 exons. NCBI's taxonomy places the organism in Eukaryota, Metazoa, Chordata, Actinopteri, Centrarchiformes, Centrarchidae.